AAAAAGGCAAACCCUGGGUUUGCGUGUCCAACUUUGACUGUUCGUCUUAUAUGAAAUAUUUUUAUAAUUUGUAUUUUCAUUGUUGUUAGAUGAUAAAAUAUGAUUAAUAUUUUAUGCGUGACUUGUCUUUUUAAUUUUUUUUAAAAAAUUUUUAAAUAAGACGAACGGUCAAACGUUGGGCACGGAAAUCAGGGUUUGUCUUUUU
RNAcentral lists this microRNA precursor (205 nucleotides) under Oryza barthii. RNAcentral describes it as "MIR812 microRNA precursor family". It matches the Rfam family "MIR812 microRNA precursor family". The record is from Rfam by way of RNAcentral. Lineage: Eukaryota; Viridiplantae; Streptophyta; Magnoliopsida; Poales; Poaceae.